AGCGAACGCUGGCGGCAUGCUUAACACAUGCAAGUCGCGCGGGUGGUUUCGGCCAUCAUCGGCGGACGGGUGGGUAUCGCGUAGUGAUGUAUCCCGAGGUGGGGGACCACCCUGGGGAACUGGGGCUAAUACCGCAUGUGGCCUGUCGGCCUAAGCAUUAGAGCGACUUGUGUGCAGCCUGCGUCCGAUUAGGUGGUCGGUGGGGUAAAGGCCUACCAAGUCUGAGAUCGGUAGCUGGGCUAAGGGUACGGUCCGCAACACUGGGAGUGGGACCCGGCGGGGACUCCUACGGAUGGCAGCAAGGGGGAAUAUUGGACGAUGGGCGCGAGCCUGAGGCAGCAAGGCCUCGUGGGUGAAGUAGGUCUGCAGAUUGUAAAGCCCUGUCGGCAGGGAAGAUGAUGACGGUACCCGCAGAAGAAGCCCCGGCUAACUUCGUG
Molecule: ribosomal RNA, 437 nt
Filed under: uncultured bacterium
Lineage: Bacteria
Description: partial 16S ribosomal RNA
Rfam family: Bacterial small subunit ribosomal RNA
Source: RNAcentral